RNAcentral lists this ribosomal RNA (313 nucleotides) under uncultured bacterium. RNAcentral's name for it is "bacterial SSU rRNA". It matches the Rfam family "Bacterial small subunit ribosomal RNA", at positions 29 to 337 of the family's 1533-position model. The record is from RNAcentral.
ACGAACGCUGGCGGCGUGCUUAACACAUGCAAGUCGAACGAUGAAAGCGGGGAGCUUGCUCCUGCUGGAUUAGUGGCGAACGGGUGAGUAACACGUGAGCAAUCUGCCCCGAACUCUGGGAUAAGCGUUGGAAACGACGUCUAAUACCGGAUACGACGCGCGAAGGCAUCUUCUGCGCGUGGAAAGAACUUCGGUUCGGGAUGAGCUCGCGGCCUAUCAGCUAGUUGGUGAGGUAAUGGCUCACCAAGGCGACGACGGGUAGCCGGCCUGAGAGGGUGACCGGCCACACUGGGACUGAGACACGGCCCAGACU